UGUAGUUGUAGAUUCUAUGGGAAGCUUUUCGAUCUCUUUCUUUUUCAAUGACGUGCAGGUGGUCAACAACCGUCUCAAGGAUAAUUAUUUAAUGGUUAAUAGCAUCAGGCUUUUUCGGGGGAGAAUUGUGUGUAUAUUGCAGUGCUUUCGGUGGUGCAAGUUGGAUAUAUACUUGGAGUGGUGGACUUUGUCUCAACGUGCGUUGGUUUCUAUUAUUUUAAGAAAAGGAAAAGGACGACACAUAUUUUGUGAAGGGAAUUGAUUUGGAACUGGCUCUCCCAGCCAGCUGAGCUUUGAAGUUUCUUCUUAGAAAUUUCCUUGCUUGAGCAGUUUUUGUUUCGAUUAAAAUAAUCCAUGGCAUCUGAUGCUGAACUGAUGAAGCACUAUGGCCUUGCCGCUGUAGCUAGAUGCUUGGCCUGCCAGUGUGUGUGGCACAAUGCAACCUUGCUUCCACCCACCACCCUGAAAGGGAGAAAGAAUGAUUCCAUGUUUGCUUAUGCCCACUUUCUUUUCUUACAUUCUGACUAUGUUAGUUGACCGUUUUCUUCAUGGACAGAUAAAAGUCUUCAUCUGAUAAAAUUUGAGAAUCUAACAAUAUUUUAGAGCCUAUGGAACAAUCACCUACGGUUGUAGGUGUAAUAUUGUCCUUCCUGCUUA
Theobroma cacao (cacao) is the source of this 657-nucleotide long non-coding RNA. RefSeq lists it as uncharacterized. Lineage: Eukaryota; Viridiplantae; Streptophyta; Magnoliopsida; Malvales; Malvaceae. The record is from RefSeq and is a predicted model, not a curated record.